Molecule: long non-coding RNA, 1458 nt
Organism: Sebastes umbrosus (honeycomb rockfish)
Lineage: Eukaryota; Metazoa; Chordata; Actinopteri; Perciformes; Sebastidae
Exons: 2
Source: RefSeq, a predicted model, not a curated record
UUCUACCACUGAGGGGCGCCAAAGUCUAAAAUGUCCAGAUUCUCAACACACAGCCACCAUAUGGAUCAAUAAACACCUGUGACACAGUCUCACCGACAGCAACAGAAAAUUAUAACUUUCACAAAGGUGUUUUUUUUUGCAGGAGUAAUAGAUUACAUUACACUUCUUCACACACCCCUCUGGAUUCUGUGUUUGGGUCUAAUGAAUGCAACAGGAAUGUGGGACUAAUGUGACCUCUUUAUCCAGUUUCCCACUGAACAUGCUGCUCAUAAGGGAUUAGUGAGAUUUAGGCCCGACAUUGUACGCUAAGUUUCCCUUUCAAAUGAAACAUCAAGUAGGAUAUUUCUCCUCAUUAUUAAUUAAAUCCGCACCUGAAGUCUAUUUUGACAGUCAACUGCCGUGUAGUAAAAGAAAAACAGUGCUUCUAGCAGGUCAGUGUGAUGGGCUUUGUGCUGGCUGAAUGCAGUGGUUGAGUUGGGCGUGUAUUUAUGUGUGUGCUGCUUACAUACAUGAGGUCAUGGGUGUGUCGACUUUGUGUGUGCGUGUGCGUGUGCGUGUAUGUGUGUGUGUGUUGGAGGGGAUGGCGGUGUCUCAAGGUCAUGUUGACAGUCCACACACAGACAGCGCCAGAGGAAAGCGCCAGCCUUGUUGACCCACUUUGCGUGUGUGUGUGUGUGUGUUCAGGACAUGGUUCUGGUGAAAUGUUUGCUCAGGGAGUGGAUCGUGCCACUUUGUGCAAGAGGGUGUGUGUAUGUGGUUGUUUUGGCAUUAAGACAUGGUUUUAGCAUUAAGAUUAGGCGUAUACAGCACGGUAGCUCUUAUGGUUACGGUAAGAUCCCCAAAAGGAUCGCAGGAUAAAUUUGCGCGCGUGUGCGUUUGCGAGUGUGUGCACGCACUUUUCACACUUAUAAGCAAACUCUUCAGCCGUGUUCUGUUGAAGCAGUGUAGGAGUCCAUGUUUGUGUAACAAAUACAUGAGUCUCUGAAGAGCUUCGCCGUGUGUGUGUGUGUGUGUGUAUGUGUGUGUGUGUGUGUGUGUGUGUGUGUGUGUGUGCGUGUGUGUAAUCAAACUGAAUCGAUGUUCCUACGAACUGAAAGACAAGUGCUAUCUGAGCUAUCUGGAUAGUUGUUAUGUCCUUCCUCUAAACAACACGGUAUUUUGAGGUUUGGUAUCCACCCUGUACUUUGGGGUGGAGUCACACAAACACUUUUUUUUUUACUGCGUGUGCGUUUCGCUCGACUGUGUCAAAUAUAUCUAUGUUUAGCAUUUUUUUUUUUUUAUUUUGCAUGAGUGUCCGAGGGUUUGUUGCAAAUUGAAUUGACUUGUUUUUUUUGACUGUGGGUCAAUUGGCGAAGUUAAAAAAAAAAUAAAAAAUGAAUUUCCCCCAGAUAAAAAGUUUUUCAUAUCGUGUGAAUAUAAAUUUUCCUUUCUACUAACAAGCUCUGCUGUUUUGCACAA